UACGGAGGGAGCUAGCGUUGUUCGGAAUUACUGGGCGUAAAGGGCUCGUAGGUGGCCAACUAAGUCAGACGUGAAAUCCCCAGGCUUAACCUGGGAACUGCGUCUGAUACUGGAUGGCUUGAAUUCGGGAGAGGGAUGCAGAAUUCCAGGUGUAGCGGUGAAAUGCGUAGAUAUCUGGAGGAAUACCGGUGGCGAAGGCGGCAUCCUGGACCGAGAUUGACACUGAUGAGCGAAAGCUAGGGGAGCAAACGGG
This 253-nucleotide ribosomal RNA is filed under the name uncultured bacterium. RNAcentral describes it as "partial 16S ribosomal RNA". It matches the Rfam family "Bacterial small subunit ribosomal RNA", at positions 524 to 776 of the family's 1533-position model. The record is from RNAcentral.